This 74-nucleotide transfer RNA is filed under the name Citharoides macrolepidotus (large-scale flounder). RNAcentral describes it as "tRNA-Lys". It matches the Rfam family "tRNA". Rfam says of the family: Transfer RNA (tRNA) molecules are approximately 80 nucleotides in length. Their secondary structure includes four short double-helical elements and three loops (D, anti-codon, and T loops). Lineage: Eukaryota; Metazoa; Chordata; Actinopteri; Pleuronectiformes; Citharidae. The record is from RNAcentral.
CGCUAAGAAGCUGAACAGGCCACAGCGUUAGCCUUUUAAGCUAAAAACUGGUGACUACCGCCCACCCUUAGCGA